Molecule: ribosomal RNA, 716 nt
Filed under: uncultured organism
Description: bacterial SSU rRNA
Rfam family: Bacterial small subunit ribosomal RNA
Source: RNAcentral
AUCCUGGCUCAGGAUGACACUGGCGGCGUGCUAAUACAUGCAAGUCGAACGAGAACCUUGGAUUCGUCUGGGGGGGAGAGUGGCGAACUGGUGAGUAACACGUGGGUGACCUGCCCCGAAGACGGGGAUAAGCGUUGGAAACGACGGCUAAUACCCGAUAUACUCGGUGAUUCGGUUUAUCGAGUAAAGGCUCCGGUGCUUCGGGAUGGGCCUGCGGCCUAUCAGCUAGUUGGUGGGGUAAUGGCCCACCAAGGCGAAGACGGGUAGGGGGCGUGAGAGCGCGGNCCCCCACACUGGCACUGAGAUACGGGCCAGACUUCUACGGAAGGCAGCAGUCGGGGAUAUUGCACAAUCGGCGAAAGCCGGAUGCAGCGACGCCGCGUGGGCGAUGAAGGCCUUCGGGUUGUAAAGCCCUUUUAUGGGGGAAGAGACAAGGACGGUACCCCAAGAAUAAGCGUCGGCUAACUACGUGCCAGCAGCCGCGGUAAAACGUAGGACGCAAGCGUUAUCCGGAUUUACUGGGCGUAAAGAGCGUUGAGGCGGUUCCGUAAGUUGGGCGUGAAAGCCCCGGGCUUAACCCGGGGGGGUCGUUCAAUACUGCGGGACUUGAGGGCAGCAGAGGGAGGCGGAAUUCCCGGUGUAAGCGGUGAAAUGCGUAGAUAUCGGGAGGAACACCAGUGGCGAAGGCGGCCUCCUGGGCUGUUUCUGACGCUGAA